GGGUCAGUAGGUUGGUCGUGCCACCGGUACGUACUGGUCUCACUGAUUCCUCCUUCCUGAAGAACCGUAAUGCCAUUAAUUUGGUGUUGCGGGGAAACAGGACGGUUACUUUGAAAAAAUUAGAGUGUUUAGAGCAAGCUAACGCUUGAAUACAUUAGCAUGGAAUAAUGAAAUAGGACGAUCGAUCCUAUUUUGUUGGUUUCUAGGAUUGACGUA
Molecule: ribosomal RNA, 216 nt
Filed under: Glomeromycotina sp.
Lineage: Eukaryota; Fungi; Glomeromycota
Description: partial small subunit ribosomal RNA
Rfam family: Eukaryotic small subunit ribosomal RNA (bases 40-216)
Source: RNAcentral